CGCUGGCCCAUGGAUCCCAGAUGGUUCUUAACUAAGUUUCAGCUCACAGUCAAGAAGCUCCGUGACAAGGCUGUCUCCUCCUUUUGUGGAAAGCAAGCACGAACUUCAUGGGUUUCAAGGACCCGAAAUUCACAGACCACAAGGCGAAGAAAGAUUGCUGUUACCGAUUUUUGAAAAGCUCAUGGGAAGUGGUCUUCUCCUUUCUUCGGGUUGCAUUUAAAUCAUCCUGAGAUUUUUCUAAUCGGACACACGUUUGGCUGCGGAACAAAGAGCGGGCUCAGCAGGCACGUCAUUACCUGAGGCCGUCACAGUGAUUCACUUGUGCUAAGAUGGCUAAGGAAUGCGUAUGUUUUAGCUGAAAGUCAAGAAUGUAAUGUUGAACACGAACGAUUUUUCAUGAAUCUGGGAGACACUUUACCCAAAUUUCUCCUAUCUGCAACAAGUGAAAAAACGAGAACACUGGAAUCGCCUUGCAAAGUUAGCGUUGGGAGUCAGAAGAACAUCCAUUGUAGAGAUGAAUUCUGUGGAUCACGGGCUUCCUACUGGCUGUCAAUGUUCUCCAGUGACCCAGUGAUAAUCAUGGCAUGACAUCAAGCUAUCCUGUAACAAGUUACAAUGAAGAAACAGUGUUAUCACUAAAGAAGCCUAGCCCCUGAAAUCCCUUACCCACGAUUUCUCCAGGCUGAACUUCCAGGCCAGUUGAACUAGUACGCCCGGUGUUCCCCAGCACACCAUGGACCUCCGAUUUCCCACACUGGCAUCCCCAUGGCGGACCUCUGACUUCAGCUGCAGGUGCGCGACACAGUUGCAGGCGACCUCAGGCUCACUCAGCUGACAGUGUCCUACCUCCAGGGCCACGCUCUCUGCUUAUGGCCUUCCUACACUCAAGUGUAGUCCACAUGUGUUGGGGAGUUUUAAUGCCUGGGGACAGGGAUAGGAACUGGUGGGUAAACGCCCCAUCUUCCUCCCAUCCGUGCAGGGGGAUAAUUCUAGAGGCAUCUGCACAAUUCCGGGCAGUCCCUGAGGAAGGGAGCCAGUUGCCCAAAGCAGCAAGCUCAGAGAUGUUCUUUUAAGUUGGGUUUUCCUCCUUUCCUGCCUCAGUUCCCUCUCCCUCACUUCUCCCAGGGACCAACUACCAAAUAAGAAUUCUUAUCUGCAGCCAUGUUCUUGUCUCAGCUUUCCUUUCGGGGGAACCCUGAUUAACACACUUCUGAUUAUUAUUAUUAUUAUCAUUGUGCUAGUCAUCUCAUCUCAAAAAUGAGUUAUGCCAAAAUGCUCCCUGCUUAAAUUUGGCAAGAGUUAAGUUCAUAUGUGUACUUGGGUCUAUUUUUGGACUCUUUGUUCCACCAAUAAAUUUAUAUUUUGUUUGGAAUAGUGUUUGCAUGACAAACACAAUUAAUUUACGUUAAUUAAUAUACGUUAAAGAAUGCUUUCAUUUUUCCUCUUUUUCAAGAUAUU
Molecule: long non-coding RNA, 1458 nt
Filed under: Equus caballus (horse)
Lineage: Eukaryota; Metazoa; Chordata; Mammalia; Perissodactyla; Equidae
Description: lncRNA (ENSECAG00000057736.1)
Source: RNAcentral